RNAcentral lists this transfer RNA (85 nucleotides) under Candidatus Muproteobacteria bacterium RIFCSPHIGHO2_01_60_12. RNAcentral describes it as "tRNA-Leu". It matches the Rfam family "tRNA". Rfam says of the family: Transfer RNA (tRNA) molecules are approximately 80 nucleotides in length. Their secondary structure includes four short double-helical elements and three loops (D, anti-codon, and T loops). Further hydrogen bonds mediate the characteristic L-shaped molecular structure. tRNAs have two regions of fundamental functional importance: the anti-codon, which is responsible for specific mRNA codon recognition, and the 3' end, to which the tRNAs corresponding amino acid is attached (by aminoacyl-tRNA synthetases). tRNAs cope with the degeneracy of the genetic code in two manners: having more than one tRNA (with a specific anti-codon) for a particular amino acid; and 'wobble' base-pairing, i.e. permitting non-standard base-pairing at the 3rd anti-codon position. The record is from RNAcentral. RNAcentral also lists the same sequence under 9 other names. Lineage: Bacteria; Pseudomonadati; Pseudomonadota; Candidatus Muproteobacteria.
GCCGAAGUGGUGAAAUUGGUAUACACGCUACCUUGAGGUGGUAGUGGCGAAAGCCGUGUGGGUUCGAGUCCCACCUUCGGCACCA